Molecule: long non-coding RNA, 587 nt
Organism: Eriocheir sinensis (Chinese mitten crab)
Lineage: Eukaryota; Metazoa; Arthropoda; Malacostraca; Decapoda; Varunidae
Exons: 4
Source: RefSeq, a predicted model, not a curated record
AAACUCUGAACAACAAACCCGGGCAGGUGGAGCUCGUUAGCCGUGGAAGGCAAUUCACCUAGGAGAGCAAACUCCGAACAACAAACCCGGGCAGGUGGAGCUCGUUAGCCGUGGAAGGCAAUUCACCUAGGAGAGCAAACUCCGAACAACAAACCCGGGCAGGUGGAGCUCGUUAGCCGUGGAAGGCAAUUCGCCUAGGAGAGCAAACUCCGAACAACAAACCCGGGCAGGUGGAGCUCGUUAGCCGUGGAAGGCAAUUCACCUAGGAGAGCAAACUCCGAACAACAAACCCGGGCAGGUGGAGCUCGUUAGCCGUGGAAGGCAAUUCACCUAGGAGAGCAAACUCCGAACAACAAACCCGGGCAGGUGGAGCUCGUUAGCCGUGGAAGGCAAUUCACCUAGGAGAGCAAACUCCGAACAACAAACCCGGGCAGGUGGAGCUCGUUAGCCGUGGAAGGCAAUUCACCUAGGAGAGCAAACUCCGAACAACAAACCCGGGCAGGUGGAGCUCGUUAGCCGUGGAAGGCAAUUCGCCUAGGAGAGCAAACUCCGAACAACAAACCCGGGCAGGUGGAGCUCGUUAGCCG